CGCUGCACCCCCAAGCACAACCACCAUCCAGGUCUUGCCGACAGUGCCAGGCAGCUCUAUUUCUGUGCCCACUGCAGCCAGGACUCAAGGUGUCCCUGCUGUUCUCAAAGUGACUGGUCCUCAAGCUACAACAGGAACACCACUGGUCACCAUGAGACCUGCAAGCCAGGCUGGAAAAGCUCCUGUCACUGUGACUUCCCUGCCUGCCAGUGUGAGAAUGGUUGUACCCACUCAGAGUGCCCAGGGCACGGUGAUUGGCAGCAACCCACAGAUGAGUGGGAUGGCUGCAUUGGCUGCUGCUGCUGCUGCCACACAGAAAAUCCCUCCUUCCUCAGCACCCACAGUGCUAAGUGUCCCAGCAGGCACCACCAUUGUCAAGACAGUGGCUGUGACACCUGGUACAACCACUCUUCCAGCCACUGUGAAGGUGGCCUCCUCACCUGUUAUGGUGAGCA
RNAcentral lists this long non-coding RNA (455 nucleotides) under Rattus norvegicus (Norway rat). Its description in RNAcentral is "long non-coding RNA NONRATT000908". The record is from RNAcentral. Lineage: Eukaryota; Metazoa; Chordata; Mammalia; Rodentia; Muridae.